Molecule: RNA transcript, 1161 nt
Organism: Drosophila pseudoobscura
Lineage: Eukaryota; Metazoa; Arthropoda; Insecta; Diptera; Drosophilidae
Gene: Syb
Gene name: Vesicle-associated membrane protein synaptobrevin
Exons: 5
Source: RefSeq, a predicted model, not a curated record
AUUCUGGUAUAUCCGCGGUCACACUGGCUCUAAUCAUCACAAGCUUGAAAUUUUUUAAUUUUUUAACUCAAAAUCUGAAAUUUUGCUAAAUAAAUAGCAAGAGAGAGGUUUUUCUGUGCAUUAAAAGCAGUAUUUCUUCAGUAACAUUGUCAGAAUUUCCACAAUGGAGAACAACGAAGCCCCCUCACCAUCCGGCUCCAACGCAAACGAUUUUCCUAUACUUCCGCCGCCGCCAAACGCCUACAACAACAACUUCGCCGAUACGAACAAUAGCAACAACAAUGCCGCCGCCCAGAAGCGCCUGCAGCAGACACAGGCCAAAGUGGACGAGGUGGUGGGCAUAAUGCGCGUCAACGUGGAGAAAGUGCUGGAGCGGGACCAGAAACUCUCGGAGCUGGGCGAGCGCGCCGACCAACUGGAGCAGGGUGCCUCUCAGUUCGAGCAGCAGGCGGGCAAGCUGAAGCGCAAGCAAUGGUGGGCCAACAUGAAGAUGAUGAUCAUUCUCGGAGUGAUCGCAGUGGUACUGCUCAUAAUCGUCCUAGUGUCGCUUUUCAAUUGAUCAAAACAUACACAAAAAUUAUCAAAUUCCGUUUUCUAUAUGUACAACAAAGCUAAGGUUCAUUUAUGUCAUUAUAUACACACACACGCACGUGUACAGUGUAGAUGUAUGCAUGUAUAUUGUAUAUUAUAUUAAGCUAAGCAACUCCAAAAAACUAAAGUCUCGGUCUGGCCAGAAAGCAGUGGCAGCAGCGGUGGAGGAGCCAAGUCCAUUACCGAACCCAAGACCGUUACGGAAACACCCCCUCACUAAGGUCGCGCUCCAUUCACUAACCAGAAAGCACAGAUAUGGAACACAGGAAACCAAAAUGGACCAACACAUCAGGGGCAUGGACAUGGACAGUGUGGCCUUCGCUUUGGCCAAAUCGCGCAAACAAAAGUUUAUUCAAUUAGAAAUGAAGAGAGGAAAAUCAAAAGGAACACUAUCUAAACAUACAUAUAUUUAACCAGGAUGUAAUUAUUAAAACCUAAUGUUAAACAAACAUUUUUCACGUAUUGUAACCCAGACCUGAGGCCUGUGUGUAGGGUGUAUGUAAUAUGUGUGCUCUGUAUAUGUAUUUGUAUAUCGUAUAAUUUGAAAUACACUAUGCCACAUACACUUUA